AAUCAACGCUGGCGGCGUGCCUCAGACAUGCAAGUCGAACGCGAAAGCUCCCUUCGGGGGGCAAGUAGAGUGGCGCACGGGUGAGUAACACGUAGGUAAUCUACCUUCGGGUGGGGAAGUAACAACCGGAAACGGUUAGCUAAUACCGCAUAAUGCAGCGGCACCUAAUGGUGACAGUUGUUAAAGCGGGGGAGUCGAAAGAUCUCGCGCCUGAAGAGGAGCCUGCGGCGGAUUAGCAGUUGGUAGGGUAACGGCCUACCAAGGCGACGAUCCGUAGCCGGCCUGAGAGGGCGGUCGGCCACACUGACACUGACAUACGGGUCAGACUCCUACGGGAGGCAGCAGUCGGGAAUUUUGGGCAAUGGGCGAAAGCCUGACCCAGCAACGCCG
RNAcentral lists this ribosomal RNA (390 nucleotides) under uncultured bacterium. RNAcentral's name for it is "bacterial SSU rRNA". It matches the Rfam family "Bacterial small subunit ribosomal RNA", at positions 32 to 399 of the family's 1533-position model. The record is from RNAcentral.